UACGUAGGGUGCAAGCGUUGUCCGGAAUUAUUGGGCGUAAAGAGCUCGUAGGCGGUUUGUUGCGUCGGCUGUGAAAUCCCGAGGCUCAACCUCGGGUCUGCAGUCGAUACGAGCAAACUAGAGUGUUGCAGGGGAGACUGGAAUUCCUGGUGUAGCGGUGAAAUGCGCAGAUAUCAGGAGGAACACCCGUAGCGAAGGCGGCACUCUGGGCCGAUUCUGACACUGAGGAGCGAAAGCGUGGGGAGCGAACAGG
Molecule: ribosomal RNA, 253 nt
Filed under: uncultured bacterium
Lineage: Bacteria
Description: partial 16S ribosomal RNA
Rfam family: Bacterial small subunit ribosomal RNA
Source: RNAcentral